This 467-nucleotide ribosomal RNA is filed under the name uncultured bacterium. RNAcentral's name for it is "partial 16S ribosomal RNA". It matches the Rfam family "Bacterial small subunit ribosomal RNA", at positions 28 to 506 of the family's 1533-position model. The record is from RNAcentral.
GACGAACGCUGGCGGCGUGCUUAACACAUGCAAGUCGAACGGAAAGGCCCUGCUUUUGUGGGGUGCUCGAGUGGCGAACGGGUGAGUACCACGUGAGUAACCUGCCCUUGACUUUGGGAUAACUUCAGGAAACUGGGGCUAAUACCGGAUAGGAGCUCCUGCUGCAUGGUGGGGGUUGGAAAGUUUCGGCGGUUGGGGAUGGACUCGCGGCUUAUCAGCUUGUUGGUGGGGUAGUGGCUUACCAAGGCUUUGACGGGUAGCCGGCCUGAGAGGGUGACCGGCCACAUUGGGACUGAGAUACGGCCCAGACUCCUACGGGAGGCAGCAGUGGGGAAUAUUGCACAAUGGGCGGAAGCCUGAUGCAGCAACGCCGCGUGCGGGAUGACGGCCUUCGGGUGGUAAACCGCUUUCGCCUGUGACGAAGCGUGAGUGACGGUAAUGGGGAAAGAAGCACCGGCUAACUACGU